CCUGGCGGCCUUAGCGCGGUGGUCCCACCUGACCCCAUGCCGAACUCAGAAGUGAAACCCCGUAGCGCCGAUGGUAGUGUGGGGUCUCCCCAUGCGAGAGUAGGGAACUGCCAGGC
This 116-nucleotide ribosomal RNA is filed under the name Escherichia coli. The record is from RNAcentral. Lineage: Bacteria; Pseudomonadati; Pseudomonadota; Gammaproteobacteria; Enterobacterales; Enterobacteriaceae.